UCACUUUUAGUGAUAGUACUUAUCACAAGUGUGGGUUGCUAUUUAUAGUUCUCCUAAUUAAUGAUGACGCUUCCGUCAUCCGUCAGGUGCUAUAUGAAGAAGCGUGUGUUGAUGACUACAAGUGAACAACACCGAGGAGGUGCAGAUGAAGAAGAAAACGGCCUCCCUCCCUCCCUCCCUCCUUCCAUCCAUCUAUCCAUCCAUCCUCCUCUUUGUUUACCCCGUGAAUCACUGUAAGCAAAUGCCAUCUGUUUCCUCAUCUGCACCUUAAUUACCCAGCCAACAGGCUAAUGGAGACGAUAUUAAAACGACAUCUUUUUGACAUUCAAAGUAAUUAUGUGCCCGGACCGCUGCUGCAUGACGGGAAGGAGACGACUUGAUGCCUUUGAAAAUAAAAACAACCUGCAUGUACUAUUUUCCCCGUAUAGACUUCAUGGUGCUGUUACAAUUUUACGAGUGGAACGCAGGUCACAUUAUUAGGAACGCCUGCGCAUUUCAUUAAUAGGGGCCAAUAUUUGACAGCAUUUUAGCGGUAUAGGCAACUAUUUUGUUCCUGUUAUAAAAUAUGUC
Long non-coding RNA from Syngnathus acus (greater pipefish), 570 nucleotides. RefSeq lists it as uncharacterized. The record is from RefSeq and is a predicted model, not a curated record. NCBI's taxonomy places the organism in Eukaryota, Metazoa, Chordata, Actinopteri, Syngnathiformes, Syngnathidae. The transcript has 2 exons.